This 433-nucleotide ribosomal RNA is filed under the name uncultured bacterium. RNAcentral describes it as "partial 16S ribosomal RNA". It matches the Rfam family "Bacterial small subunit ribosomal RNA", at positions 29 to 507 of the family's 1533-position model. The record is from RNAcentral.
AACGAACGCUGGCGGCAGGCCUAACACAUGCAAGUCGAGCGAGGACUUCGGUUCUAGCGGCGGACGGGUGAGUAACGCGUGGGAAUGUGCCCUUCUCUACGGAAUAGCCCUGGGAAACUGGGAGUAAUACCGUAUACGCCCUAUUGGGGAAAGAUUUAUCGGAGAAGGAUCAGCCCGCGUUGGAUUAGGUAGUUGGUGGGGUAAUGGCCUACCAAGCCGACGAUCCAUAGCUGGUUUGAGAGGAUGAUCAGCCACACUGGGACUGAGACACGGCCCAGACUCCUACGGGAGGGAGCAGUGGGGGAUCUUAGACAAUGGGGGCAACCCUGAUCUAGCCAUGCCGCGUGAGUGAUGAAGGCCUUAGGGUUGUAAAGCUCUUUCAGCUGGGAAGAUAAUGACGGUACCAGCAGAAGAAGCCCCGGCUAACUCCGUG